UUUGAAAGGGAAACGAUUGAAGUCAGUCGUACCUGCGGGUAAUCAGCCUUUUGGGCAUGAUUCUGUGGAGCGUGAGGAGUUAAACGCCUUCAUGCCUGCAUAUUCGUGUACUUUGGGUGUACUUGCCUGUGUGGUUAGUUAACAUCAAUUUUGGUUAUCAUAAAAUGGCUGGAGGAAUGUAGCUUCGAUUUCGAUUGAAGUGUUAUAGCCUUCGGCAGAUGUGAUGAUCGGGAUUGAGGAUUGCAACGGAUACCCUUCGGGGCUACCUGUCUGGUCUCUGAUCGUUGCUCUGGUGCCGAAAGCGUGCUUACGGUUAUCAAAGUCGAUGGUCAAUAGGUUAGAACGGGUUAAAUUCGUUAAGGAUGUUGACGUA
RNAcentral lists this ribosomal RNA (373 nucleotides) under uncultured fungus. Its description in RNAcentral is "LSU rRNA". The record is from RNAcentral. Lineage: Eukaryota; Fungi.